Molecule: non-coding RNA, 182 nt
Organism: Enterovibrio nigricans DSM 22720
Lineage: Bacteria; Pseudomonadati; Pseudomonadota; Gammaproteobacteria; Vibrionales; Vibrionaceae
Source: Rfam
UAUGCACGUAGAGGUGCAUUGUUUAUCAGUAUUUCGUCUUAGGGUGAUGCCUAAGAGGGCGAAGGAAAGGAAACAAUGCCGAAGCAGACAUUUGAUUAUCGGUCUAUUCUGCUGGGGUUGUAACCGAAGAGGUACAACACUGCCAUAGUAUUGGGAUUUAACUAUGGAGCGCUACUGUAGGG